UGAUAGCAAUCGCAGAGGGAAUGGUGAAGACACGUGGAGUUACAUAACUUCCAAUUUUUCGCUAAUUAUCUAAUUAUCUAAUUAUUAAAUUAUCUAAUCAUCCACUGUUUAUUUGAAUUAAUAAAUCCGAAGAGUGACGUUAGCUGAACUACCCGAGGGAAAAGUGCAAAUAAAUUGAAAUUCUUGAAAGAAGCAAAGGGAUAGGAGUACUGGAAAAUCUUAAUACAGCCAAGCCGGCCAACCAAUCUACGGUAUCAACUACUGAAACAACAAAGCUGGCCGUUUGGGAGUUAGUGCAGUGCACAUCCACGGCGGCAAAGUGAAGGCUGAACCGUUCACGUUGGGCUAGCUCAAUAUCGGAAAUCAUUUACGGCUCGUGAAA
Molecule: long non-coding RNA, 382 nt
Organism: Drosophila miranda
Lineage: Eukaryota; Metazoa; Arthropoda; Insecta; Diptera; Drosophilidae
Exons: 2
Source: RefSeq, a predicted model, not a curated record